GAUGAACGCUGGCGGCAUGCCUAAGACAUGCAAGUCGAACGAAGUAGUCCAAUGAAGAUGGAGUGCUUGCACAAAAUUGGAAUUGGGUUGCUACUUAGUGGCAGACGGGUGAGUAACACGUGGGUAACCUACCUUAGAGACUGGGAUAACGGUUAGAAAUGAUCGCUAAUACCGGAUGAUACGUAAUUAGAUAACUAGAUACGUUAAAAGGAGCAUUUGCUUCACUUUAAGAUGGGCUUGCGUUGUAUUAGCUAGUUGGUGGGGUAAUGGCCUACCAAGGCAACGAUGCAUAUCCGAGCUGAGAGGCUGAUCGGACACACUGGGACUGAGACACGGCCCAG
This 341-nucleotide ribosomal RNA is filed under the name uncultured bacterium. Its description in RNAcentral is "bacterial SSU rRNA". It matches the Rfam family "Bacterial small subunit ribosomal RNA", at positions 28 to 334 of the family's 1533-position model. The record is from RNAcentral.